Molecule: ribosomal RNA, 395 nt
Filed under: uncultured bacterium
Lineage: Bacteria
Description: bacterial SSU rRNA
Rfam family: Bacterial small subunit ribosomal RNA
Source: RNAcentral
GUGUCAGCAGCCGCGGUAAGACGGAGGGAGCAAGCGUUGUCCGGAUUUACUGGGCGUAAAGCGCGCGUAGGCGGCCUAUUAAGUCGGUUGUGAAAGCGCUGGGCUUAACCCAGCAACUGCAGUCGAUACUGGUAGGCUCGAGUUCGGGAGAGGGAAGCGGAAUUCCUGGUGUAGCGGUGGAAUGCGUAGAUAUCAGGAAGAACACCGGUGGCGAAGGCGGCUUCCUGGACCGAUACUGACGCUGAGGCGCGAAAGCUAGGGGAGCGAACGGGAUUAGAUACCCCGGUAGUCCUAGCCGUAAACGAUGGUCACUAGGUGUUGCGGGUAUCGACCCCUGCAGUGCCGAAGCUAACGCAUUAAGUGACCCGCCUGGGGAGUACGGCCGCAAGGUUGAA